UACAGAGGUCUCAAGCGUUGUUCGGAAUCACUGGGCGUAAAGGGUGCGUAGGCCGCACGGUAAGUCAGAGGUGAAAUCCCGGAGCUCAACUUCGGAAUUGCCUCCGAUACUGCCGUGCUUGAGGACUGGAGAGGAGAUUGGAAUUCACAGUGGAGCAGUGAAAUGCGUAGAUAUUGUGAGGAACACUAGUGGCGAAGGCGAAUCUCUGGACAGUACCUGACGCUGAGGCACGAAGGCCAGGGGAGCAAACGGG
This 253-nucleotide ribosomal RNA is filed under the name uncultured bacterium. Its description in RNAcentral is "partial 16S ribosomal RNA". It matches the Rfam family "Bacterial small subunit ribosomal RNA", at positions 524 to 776 of the family's 1533-position model. The record is from RNAcentral.